GCUGUUGAACUUUUCAGACAUCAACUGCCUUGCUCACAGCUACCUUCUGACGGAACACGAAGUAUAGCACGGGCCACAGCGUGAGACGGAUCCUUAACAGUCAGCCCAACAUAAGCUCGAAAAGUGGAGAGAAUGGGACCACUACCCACCAAAUGCUGCCAUCCAUAGCCCAAAUGAACAAAUACAAGUGGAACAACCCUCUUCAGAAACGACUGGGUAACAUUAAAUAGAGCAAGGACCGGAGUGGAUACCAGGUGAUGCUAGAGGAAAGAAGCAACAAGAGAAACUCCUAACAAGAAAUAGAUGAAUGGUUAGCCGGUACUCCAGGGAAAUGGACUUAAGUUUCUGGACCAACAACUUUAUAAAUUAACCAUUAAACUUCCACAGCAGCAAAAAUAGUUUUUUUGAAAAACUAACUUUUAUUGGUGCAAA
Macrobrachium nipponense is the source of this 432-nucleotide long non-coding RNA. RefSeq lists it as uncharacterized. Lineage: Eukaryota; Metazoa; Arthropoda; Malacostraca; Decapoda; Palaemonidae. The record is from RefSeq and is a predicted model, not a curated record. The transcript is spliced from 3 exons.